CUACGGGUGGCUGCAGUAAGGAAUCUUCCGCAAUGGGCGAAAGCCUGACGGAGCGACACCGCGUGAGGGAUGAAGGCUCUAGGGUUGUAAACUUCUUUUCUGAGGGAAUAAAUCUGAAUUUACCUCAGGAAUAAGCACCGGCUAACUACGUGCCAGCAGCCGCGGUAAUACGUAGGGUGCGAGCGUUAUCCGGAAUCAUUGGGCGUAAAGCGUCCGCAGGUGGUAAAUCAAGUCUGAAGUAAAAUCUCCGAGCUCAACUCGGAAAGCGUUUCGGAAACUGAUUUACUAGAGGAAUGCAGAGGUAAGUGGAAUUCGGUAAGUAGGGGUUAAAUCCGUAGAUCUACCGAGGAACACCAAAAGCGAAGGCAGCUUACCGGGCAUCUCCUGACACUCAUGGACGAAAGCGUGGGUAGCGAAACGGAUUAGAUACCCUAGUAGUC
This 440-nucleotide ribosomal RNA is filed under the name uncultured bacterium. RNAcentral's name for it is "partial 16S ribosomal RNA". It matches the Rfam family "Bacterial small subunit ribosomal RNA", at positions 339 to 795 of the family's 1533-position model. The record is from RNAcentral.